Onthophagus taurus is the source of this 867-nucleotide non-coding RNA. NCBI's taxonomy places the organism in Eukaryota, Metazoa, Arthropoda, Insecta, Coleoptera, Scarabaeidae. The record is from RefSeq and is a predicted model, not a curated record.
UGUUCUCUUCGUAUGGUAGAAGUAAACCUCUCCUCUUCGUGUGCGCUCUUGCACUUGGCACACUCAACUCUUCUCCUGCUUCAUUUCGUUUCUGCACUGUUGGUUUGCAACCAGCUUUUAGAAAAUCAUCCUGUCAGUGUGCCACCGGUGUACGGUUUACAUUCACACGUUAAAAGUAUAAACAAAUUACUAUUUAAAGUUUUAAAUAAUUUUAAUUAUUUUUUUAAAAUUUUUAUUUAAAAUGCCACACUAUAAAUAAAAUAAAAUAAAAUUUGUUUUUGAAUAAUCUCGUGUUACUUCGUCGCGUGUUCUUUUUUCUUCUUUAGAAAACUGUGUUAAAAGAAGCGAUAUUGAGAACAAGAUUAGAAAAAAAAGAGAAAUGUCUAUAGUGAACUGAAGUGUAAACCGGAAUUGACAAUGUUUAAUUGAAAAAUAAUGAAAAUAUAAGACGAAAGAAAUGUUGGGUUGUUAGGAAGCGAAGAAGAUAACAACGUUUCUUCUCCUGUUGGCAUUUUAACCGAGCGUCCUUGCAAGAUUUCUUAAUGACUACUUUAUUAAUGAUCACAUCCGGGUAUUAGAAUGGACAAAUGGACAUGCGCUGCAUCCUUCUAGUUGUCCUUCUCGAAGCUCUUUAUCCAAUAAAUUCCGAGCUGACGGAAUAUCAGUCUAGCAUAUCUUCAAUAACCAGGCAAAAUCAAGGAGAUAUCUUUCAAACUGAAGAUAAAUUCUGUAACCCGGACGUUUGCAUAGGGUUAAGCAGCGGUACAGCAGCUGCCGUCGAAGACUCGAAAGAGCCGUUCUGCACCUGCCAGUGUCAUCGACAUCUACCAACUUUCAGAGAAGACAUCCAGAUAUGCGUCGAUGACA